UGCGGGUGUAAGCCAACGGUAGACAGCGAGGCUCAUAACCUCGAAGCAGCCAGUUCGACUCUGGCCCCCGCAACCA
RNAcentral lists this transfer RNA (76 nucleotides) under Burkholderia mallei. RNAcentral's name for it is "tRNA-Met". It matches the Rfam family "tRNA". From Rfam's summary of the family: Transfer RNA (tRNA) molecules are approximately 80 nucleotides in length. Their secondary structure includes four short double-helical elements and three loops (D, anti-codon, and T loops). RNAcentral also lists the same sequence under 1 other name. The record is from RNAcentral. Lineage: Bacteria; Pseudomonadati; Pseudomonadota; Betaproteobacteria; Burkholderiales; Burkholderiaceae.